UUGCGGCAUUUGUGAGAAAAUAAUCGUGCUCCGUAAUUUUUUAAUUUUUGACCAAAAGAAACAUUAAAAAAUGGUGAAACAUUGUAUUGUGCGUGGAUGUAAAAGAGAUUUAGCAUCUGAUCGCUAAAAUAGAAUGAAUUACUGAAAAACAAUUUGCGUCAAUCAUCUUUAUUCAAAGUACCAAACUACCAAAGAAUAACGUAUUGAGGGAAAAUGGGUAAAAGCUUUAUCACAACAAUUGACUCCAAAUCAGUUUGUGUGUGAGAAGCACUUUCGCGAAGAAGAUAUUAAGAAAAUUGAUCGAUUGAUUAUUAAUGGAGCUGAAAUUAUCAUCCCUCGCGAAAGGUGGACUCUUUUGAAUGACAAUGUCAUUCCAAUAAACCCUCAGGAUUUGGAAAAGGACAUUUCUGAAGAGCAAGUUCCAAUAGUGCAAAAUGACAUUAAUAACUGACCAAUCGAAAACCUGGAUUAUACACAACCCUCGUUAAAAAUCGUUCAAGGUAACAAUUUAAAAGAAGAUUCUCAAUCAGCAGGACCCCAUCAUAUGGAAUCACCAGAGAUUGUAACAGCUAAUAAUGUCAUUAUCUCGAACAUGUCUCCACCAUCAUGUGUUACACUAGAAGAGAUCCAUGCUCAUUUUCACUCAAUACUGAUCCAAGGAUGGUGUUAUUUUGCUUGUGAUGAAGAGUUGAUAUUAUAUAAGAUAUGAAUUUUACUAUUUCCAAUAAUCUUUCAGUGAAGGUUUCUUUCUCUCAACAACCAGAAAUUGUUAUUGAUACUACAUCAUCUAUAGAAGAUAUAAAAAUGUAUAUGGAAACUCUGCAAGCCACUAUUUUAUGUAAAGGAACUGACAUACAC
Molecule: long non-coding RNA, 858 nt
Organism: Melitaea cinxia (Glanville fritillary)
Lineage: Eukaryota; Metazoa; Arthropoda; Insecta; Lepidoptera; Nymphalidae
Exons: 5
Source: RefSeq, a predicted model, not a curated record